This 686-nucleotide long non-coding RNA is filed under the name Monodelphis domestica (gray short-tailed opossum). Its description in RNAcentral is "lncRNA (ENSMODG00000037051.1)". Lineage: Eukaryota; Metazoa; Chordata; Mammalia; Didelphimorphia; Didelphidae. The record is from RNAcentral.
AUGUUACUGUUGUUAGAGCAUGAGCUCCCCGGGGACAAUCUUGGCGCCCCCAUGUUUGGCACAGCUCCUGGCAUACAGAAAGAGCAGCAUAAAUACUUGGGGACUUGUUCUUAUCAGAGGAUCAUAAACCACAGAUUUGGUGCUGAAGGGGCCCUCAGAGUCCAUCUAGUCCAAACCCCUCCGUUAUACAACGAAGAUGACUUGCCCUGGAUGGAAACACAGGAAAACUGGCAUUCCAACACAGGACUCCCAGAUUGAAGGUAAACGUAGAGAGAGAACAGCUCAUUUCCAAUCCAAGAAGCAACUAAAAGAUCGAGAUGUCAAUUGCCAAGUAAAUUCUUCUUUAAAAGAAGUAUACAAAUAAUUCUCUUACAUAAAAGAGAUGAACUCUGAGAAGAUAACUUCUUCACCAAAGUCAUCCCAUUUACUGAAAUCGGCCAUAUUCUACAUUAAAGAAUUAGAAGAGACUUUAAAUUUUGCACUUGUACUGGAUAAGCUAAAAAUAUAACAAUAUUGCUAUUAAUGGAUCCUGUAUGAUCUUAAAAAAAAGUGCUAAUAUAUUUAAGAAAAAGUCAGUGGAGAGAGUUUGAACAAAUAGGAACUAGAGAAGAAUGGGUAAAAAGUUAAAUGAAAGUUGCCAUCUAUUUGCACUAACACAGCAUGAAUAAAGAGUUUGAAAGUAAACA